RNAcentral lists this ribosomal RNA (517 nucleotides) under Panaeolus fimicola. RNAcentral's name for it is "eukaryotic LSU rRNA". The stretch from base 134 to 287 matches the Rfam family "5.8S ribosomal RNA". The record is from RNAcentral. Lineage: Eukaryota; Fungi; Basidiomycota; Agaricomycetes; Agaricales.
CACCUGUGCACACACUGUAGGUCUGGAGGGGAAGGGAGGUAACUCCCUAACGUUUCAGGUCCUAUGUUUUUACACAUACACUAUUAAAAGUAACAGAACGUUUCAAUGGGCUUUAAGCCUAUAAACUAUAUACAACUUUCAGCAACGGAUCUCUUGGCUCUCGCAUCGAUGAAGAACGCAGCGAAAUGCGAUAAGUAAUGUGAAUUGCAGAAUUCAGUGAAUCAUCGAAUCUUUGAACGCACCUUGCGCUCGUUGGUAUUCCGACGAGCAUGCCUGUUUGAGUGUCAUUAAAUUCUCAACCUCAUCGCUUUUGUGAUGAUGGCUUGGAUGUGGAGGUUUUUGCAGGCCGUUAAGGUCAGCUCCUCUCAAAUGAAUUAGUGGGUGCCCCGCGCAAACCUAUCUAUUGGUGUGAUAAUUAUCUACGCCGUGGAUCUUAGGAUUGCUGUAAAAAGGUGUUUGCCCUGCUUCUAAUCGUCUUCGGACAACUUGAACCAUUUGACCUCAAAUCAGGUAGGAC